This 807-nucleotide ribosomal RNA is filed under the name uncultured bacterium. RNAcentral's name for it is "bacterial SSU rRNA". It matches the Rfam family "Bacterial small subunit ribosomal RNA", at positions 61 to 873 of the family's 1533-position model. The record is from RNAcentral.
GUCGAGCGAUGAAAUCUUAACAGAACCCUUCGGGGCGAAGAUAAGACGGAUCAGUGGCGGACGGGUGAGUAACACGUGAGUAACCUGCCUUUUACACAGGGAUAGCCUCGGGAAACCGGGAUUAAAACCUGAUGAAACUAUCAAAUCACAUGAUUAAGAAAGUUAAAACUCCGGUGGUAAAAGAUGGACUCGCGUCCCAUUAGCUAGUUGGUGAAGGUAACGGCCCACCAAGGCAACGAUGGGUAGCCGGCCUGAGAGGGUGAACGGCCACAUUGGAACUGAGAAACGGUCCAAACUCCUACGGGAGGCAGCAGUGGGGAAUAUUGCACAAUGGGGGAAACCCUGAUGCAGCGACGCCGCGUGAGCGAAGAAGGCCUUCGGGUCGUAAAGCUCUUUUAUAUGGGAAGAUAAUGACGGUACCAUAAGAAAAAGCCCCGGCUAACUACGUGCCAGCAGCCGCGGUAAUACGUAGGGGGCUAGCGUUGUCCGGAAUCACUGGGCGUAAAGGGUUCGCAGGCGGCAAUGCAAGUCAGAUGUAAAAGGCAAAGGCUCAACCUUUGUAAGCAUCUGAAACUGUAUAGCUUGAGAAGUGUAGAGGCAAGUGGAAUUUUUAGUGUAGCGGUGAAAUGCGUAGAUAUUAAAAAGAAUACCGGUGGCGAAGGCGACUUGCUGGGCACAAUCUGACGCUGAGGAACGAAAGCGUGGGGAGCAAACAGGAUUAGAUACCCUGGUAGUCCACGCCGUAAACGAUGAGUGCUAGGUGUCGGUAUAAAUCGGUGCCGCAGUUAACACAAUAAGCACUCCGCC